RNAcentral lists this ribosomal RNA (483 nucleotides) under uncultured bacterium. RNAcentral's name for it is "partial 16S ribosomal RNA". It matches the Rfam family "Bacterial small subunit ribosomal RNA", at positions 28 to 507 of the family's 1533-position model. The record is from RNAcentral.
GACGAACGCUGGCGGCGUGCUUAACACAUGCAAGUCGAACGCUGAAGCUCAGCUUUUGUUGGGUGGAUGAGUGGCGAACGGGUGAGUAACACGUGAGUAACCUGCCUCCUUCUUUGGGAUAACGCCCGGAAACGGGUGCUAAUACUGGAUAUUCACUGGUCUUCGCAUGGGGGUUGGUGGAAAGGGUUUUUCUGGUGGGGGAUGGGCUCGGGGCCUAUCAGCUUGUUGGUGGGGGGAUGGCCUACCAAGGCUUUGACGGGUAGCCGGCCUGAGAGGGUGACCGGUCACAUUGGGACUGAGAUACGGCCCAGACUCCUACGGGAGGCAGCAGUGGGGAAUAUUGCACAAUGGGCGCAAGCCUGAUGCAGCGACGCCGCGUGAGGGAUGGAGGCCUUCGGGUUGUGAACCUCUUUCGCUCAUGGUCAAGCCGCAACAAUGGUUGUGGUGAGGGUAGUGGGUAAAGAAGCGCCGGCUAACUACGUG